This 447-nucleotide ribosomal RNA is filed under the name uncultured bacterium. RNAcentral's name for it is "bacterial SSU rRNA". It matches the Rfam family "Bacterial small subunit ribosomal RNA", at positions 355 to 825 of the family's 1533-position model. The record is from RNAcentral.
UCGGGAAUUUUGGGCAAUGGGGGAAACCCUGACCCAGCAACGCCGCGUGAAGGAUGAAGUAUUUCGGUAUGUAAACUUCGAAAGAAUAGGAAGAAUAAAUGACGGUACUAUUUAUAAGGUCCGGCUAACUACGUGCCAGCAGCCGCGGUAAUACGUAGGGACCAAGCGUUGUUCGGAUUUACUGGGCGUAAAGCGCGCGUAGGUGGUUAGUUAAGUUGGAUGUGAAAUCCCCGGGCUCAACCUGGGAACUGCAUUCAAAACUGACUGACUAGAGUAUGGUAGAGGGUGGUGGAAUUUCCUGUGUAGCGGUGAAAUGCGUAGAUAUAGGAAGGAACACCAGUGGCGAAGGCGACCACCUGGACUGAUACUGACACUGAGGUGCGAAAGCGUGGGGAGCAAACAGGAUUAGAUACCCCCGUAGUCCCUGAGCGGGCUGGCAAGGCGCAU